This 101-nucleotide ribosomal RNA is filed under the name Rhizobium rosettiformans W3. RNAcentral's name for it is "partial 16S ribosomal RNA". It matches the Rfam family "Bacterial small subunit ribosomal RNA", at positions 1440 to 1533 of the family's 1533-position model. Lineage: Bacteria; Pseudomonadati; Pseudomonadota; Alphaproteobacteria; Hyphomicrobiales; Rhizobiaceae. The record is from RNAcentral.
CGCAAGGGAGGCAGCUAACCACGGUAGGGUCAGCGACUGGGGUGAAGUCGUAACAAGGUAGCCGUAGGGGAACCUGCGGCUGGAUCACCUCCUUUCUAAGG